AAUAUUUAGACUUCAAAAAGUGUAUUAAAAAUAAUAUACUGAAAGUAACAAAUGAAGAACUAAAAAUGAAUAAUAUAGACUGGAUUAACAAUAUACAUUAUUUUAAUGAAACAUAUAGUUUGUUAGAUUAUUAUCAUUUAAUUAAUGAAAGUACAAAAAAAAAGAAUAAUGAUUGCUUGUUCAUUAAUUUGAUUAACGAUUCAAUAAUUGCAAAUGAAGCAAAAAAAAAUAUAGAUAAUUCGUAUUUUGAAAAUAAUAAGGUUAAUAAUGAUAAUAAAAAAAUAAAUGAUAUUACAAUGUUUUAUGAUUAUGAAACGUCUAAAAGUUGUUACAUUAGGUACUUAAAUGAUGUUUAUCGUUUAAUGAAUGAUAGGUUAAAAUGUGUUCAGGUGAAUUGUACAGAAAAAGGUGGUAUUGAUACAAGGUUUUUAGCGCGUAUUACUGCGGGUACUAAUACAUAUGCUACUGCUAGUGAUAUAGAUAUAGAUAUAACUGCCAAUGGUGUUAUAAAUAACAGACAAAAUUGUAAGAAUAAUACAGAAAAAGGUGCACAACAUAAUAAUGAUGUUAAGGAUGCAACUCUAAAUAGUAGUUCAAAUAAUUUACAGUUAAAAUUACUAGAAGGGGAAGACAAUAUAUGUAUGCCAGUCAGUAGAUUGAGCAAUAAUGAUAACAUUGCACAAGUUGAAGUAGAUGUAGAUAGCCAAAAGGGAAAUUAUAAUAAUACAAAAGAUGAUAGGAACGAUGUAGAAACAUACUGGGUAGAUGAACAGGAUAAAAAUAAUAAAAAAAUAGAUACAGAAUAUUUAGUUAAUAAGCAUAUUGAGAUAAACAGCAGUAUACAUAAUGAAAAUGACACAAUUGGUAAAGAAGUGAUUGGACAGGAACACAACAAAGUCGGUCAUGAUGUUAGUAGUGGUAGUGGUAAUAAGACGAAUGAAAGGCUAAAUGUACAGCAUGGUGCUGAUAGGAAUAAUGAUUUAUUGGGUUAUUUAUUUGCAGUACAAAAAUAUACUCGUAGUGAAAACGACUUAAUAAGUAACAUUUUGUAUAUGUAUUUAGACAAAGUGAUUAAUAAUGUAAAGAAAGAUAACGAACUGACAUUUAUUGUGGACAUGGAACGGGAUAAAAAAACUGAAGGGGAUAAAAAAAAAACAGAAGGGGGUAAAAAAAAAACAGAAGGGGAUAAAAAAAAAACAGAAGAGGAUAAAAAAAAAACAGAAGAGGGUAAAAAAAAAACAGAAGAGGGUAAAAAUAUAUUAACAAAUGUGGAUGAAGAAAAAAAAAAAAGUUUGAAUAUAGAGAUUUUUAAAUUUGAUUUAAAAGAAAGAGACAUAAAAGUAAUUGAAGAGAACAUAAAUUAUGGAAUGUGCCUGUUGGUUAAUAAAGUAAGACAAUUAGUAAAUUAUAAAAGCAGUAAUUUGAAUAAUUUACUUUUGCAUGCACAAUUGUUUGAACAUACACAAAAAAAUAUAGACUUGAUAAAAGAAAAUAAUAUUAAAAUAGGAGAAAUAAAAAAAGAAGAAAAAAAAAUAAAGUUAUUAUAUUUACUACAUAAUUUAUAUAAUAUAUGUAAUAAUUAUAAGAAAAAUUAUUUUUAUGAUGGAGCAACAAAUAAUAUGGAGAUAGCAAAUUUAUGGAAACUACUUUUUUUAAAAACAUGUAAAACAUUAAUGCAAAAUUAUGGGUUAAUAACAGUUUAUAAUGAAUAUGAUAUUUUACUAAACAAGAGAAGUGAUAAAAAAAAUGCUGGUGUUUUAAACUUUAUUAAAAAUGGAAAACUCACAAAUAAUUAUUUUGAGCAAAUACAUAAAAUGGCUAUGAGGGGUAGUGCUGAUAGUUUGGUUUUAAACAAUCAUAGCAUGUGUAAUAUAGGAAUGGGAAGGUGGCUUGCCACAAAUAGUAUUGGCGAAGUUGUUGUUAAAACGAGGAAUAAUGGUGUAAGUGCUUCAAGUGCUACCCUGGGUGUUAAUACUGUAAGUGAUCCGAGUGGUAGAACAUGUCAAAGCGAACGACAUAUCUCACAGGAUGACCAAAAUAAACAGCAUAACACUAACCAGUGUGAUGAAAUCGAAGUCGAAAAAAUAAAAGAAUUUUACAACAAAGCAAAAAAAAUAAAUAUAUGUAAUAGAGAAGGUUAUUUGAUAAUUAGUAACAAGGGUUGUAAAGAGUUUAGUAUAUGUAUAAAUGUGAAAAAAAUGGAAAAAACAAAGUUUCUUCGUAAAAUAAUAAAAAAGGUCAAAUGUUAUAUAAAUGGAUUAAAUAUUAUUAAUACCUUUCGUUUUGAUACUUUACCAAUGGUUGGAUAUGAACAAUUAAAAAGUGAGCUUUUUUAUAGGAAAGGAAAUAUUUUAAGUAAAUUGAAUAAAAUUAUUUUGUUUUUGUAUCGAAAUAAUUUUAUUGAAGCAGGUGAGGAAUUUAGGUAUAGCUGUAAUGAUGAAAAUACUGAGGAAGCGGGUAAAAAGUUUUUAGCAUUUAUGGGAAAUGAAUGUGAAAAAAAGAAUGAAGUAGUAUUAAAACAAGAAUUAGGAAAUAAGCAUCUAAGAAGUCCUAUGACUUAUGAGAAUAUAAAUGGUGACAUUGAUGGAACUUUUAAAAAAAUUACACAUAAUGAUGAUGUUUUAGAUAAACAUAUAAAGCAUGGUAGUAAAACGAAAGGCGAAGGUAGUAAGAAAAAGAAAAGUAAAAAAAAAAAAGAAAAUGGUACUAGUAAGAAAAAUGGUACUAGUAAGAAAAAUGGUACUAGUAAGAAAAAUGGUACUAGUAAGAAAAAUGGUACUGGUAAGAAAAAUGGUACUAGUAAGAAAAAUGAUAGUCGUAAUAAAAAUGGUACAAGCGAGGGUUUCAUUAAGAAAAAAAAAAAAAAAAUAUGUAGAAAUAAAAAAAAUAAAAGAGUUAGUAAUAGGGUUGAUGGUGAUGUCAGUAGUAGCGUUGGUAGAGGUGGAAAUGUUAUACAUGAAAACCUUAUUCAUAAAUCGAACGAAAUAUUAUGCGAAGAAGCAAAUAGUCAUAAUAGGGUAACUUAUAACUGUAAUUAUGAAAAAUAUAACAUGUUUGAUAGCAGUUUAAUUGAAGAAUGUUUUUUAUCUUCAUUAAAAAUAUGUUUUAUGGAAAAUAGAUCUUGGAUAACAUGGGCAGAUUAUUGUUAUAAUCUUUUUAAAC
Molecule: long non-coding RNA, 3162 nt
Filed under: Piliocolobus tephrosceles (Ugandan red Colobus)
Lineage: Eukaryota; Metazoa; Chordata; Mammalia; Primates; Cercopithecidae
Description: lncRNA (ENSPTEG00000012328.1)
Source: RNAcentral